Molecule: non-coding RNA, 132 nt
Organism: Caenorhabditis elegans
Lineage: Eukaryota; Metazoa; Nematoda; Chromadorea; Rhabditida; Rhabditidae
Source: Ensembl
UCUUACAGUUUUGUUGUUGAUUGGCAGCUGUUGCAGCUGCAAGUAAAGUCGGUUUCAAAAGCAUCAGCUGAGAAUCGUAGUUGUCGUCGUCGGGUUCUGGUCUUUCGAACACAACAACAUGCCUCCCCCAGU